This 87-nucleotide transfer RNA is filed under the name Salinisphaera hydrothermalis C41B8. It matches the Rfam family "tRNA". Rfam says of the family: Transfer RNA (tRNA) molecules are approximately 80 nucleotides in length. Their secondary structure includes four short double-helical elements and three loops (D, anti-codon, and T loops). Further hydrogen bonds mediate the characteristic L-shaped molecular structure. tRNAs have two regions of fundamental functional importance: the anti-codon, which is responsible for specific mRNA codon recognition, and the 3' end, to which the tRNAs corresponding amino acid is attached (by aminoacyl-tRNA synthetases). tRNAs cope with the degeneracy of the genetic code in two manners: having more than one tRNA (with a specific anti-codon) for a particular amino acid; and 'wobble' base-pairing, i.e. permitting non-standard base-pairing at the 3rd anti-codon position. The record is from Rfam by way of RNAcentral. Lineage: Bacteria; Pseudomonadati; Pseudomonadota; Gammaproteobacteria; Salinisphaerales; Salinisphaeraceae.
GGAGAGGUGGCAGAGCGGUUGAUUGCACCGGUCUUGAAAACCGGCAGGGGCGAGAGCCCCUCGUGGGUUCGAAUCCCACCCUCUCCG